UUCCGGUUGAUCCUGCCGGAGGUCAUUGCUAUUGGAGUCCGAUUUAGCCAUGUUAGUCGUACGAGCUUAGACUCGUGGCGAAUAGCUCAGUAACACGUGGCCAAACUACCCUGUCGAUCGGGAUAACCUCGGGAAACUGAGGCUAAUACCGAAUACGGCUCGAUGCCUGGAACUGGCUCGAGCUCGAAACGCUACGGCGCGACAGGAUGUGGCUGCGGCCGACUAGGUAGACGGUGGGGUAACGGCCCACCGUGCCGAUAAUCGGUACGGGUUGUGAAAGCAAGAGCCCGGAGACGGAAUCUGAGACAAGAUUCCGGGCCCUACGGGGCGCAGCAGGCGCGAAACCUUUACACUGCACGAGAGUGCGAUAGGGGGACUCCAAGUGCGAGGGCAUACAGUCCUCGCUUUUGUACACCGUAAGGUGGUGUACGAAUAAGUGCUGGGCAAGACCGGUGCCAGCCGCCGCGGUAAUACCGGCAGCACGAGUGAUGACCGCUAUUAUUGGGCCUAAAGCGUCCGUAGCCGGCCGGGCAAGUCCAUCGGGAAGUCCGCACGCCUAACGUGCGGGCGUCCGGUGGAAACUGCCUGGCUUGGGACCGGAAGACCCGGGGGGUACGUCUGGGGUAGGAGUGAAAUCCUGUAAUCCUGGACGGACCGCCGGUGGCGAAAGCGCCUCGGGAAGACGGAUCCGACGGUGAGGGACGAAAGCUAGGGUCACGAACCGGAUUAGAUACCCGGGUAGUCCUAGCCGUAAACGAUGUCUGCUAGGUGUGGCGCUGGCUACGAGCCAGCGCUGUGCCGUAGGGAAGCCGUGAAGCAGACCGCCUGGGAAGUACGUCUGCAAGGAUGAAACUUAAAGGAAUUGGCGGGGGAGCACUACAACCGGAGGAGCCUGCGGUUUAAUUGGAUUCAACGCCGGA
This 920-nucleotide ribosomal RNA is filed under the name uncultured archaeon. RNAcentral's name for it is "bacterial SSU rRNA". It matches the Rfam family "Archaeal small subunit ribosomal RNA", at positions 1 to 922 of the family's 1478-position model. The record is from RNAcentral.